Molecule: ribosomal RNA, 431 nt
Filed under: uncultured bacterium
Lineage: Bacteria
Description: partial 16S ribosomal RNA
Rfam family: Bacterial small subunit ribosomal RNA
Source: RNAcentral
CCUACGGGAGGCAGCAGCUAAGAAUCUUCCACAAUGGACGAAAGUCUGAUGGAGCGACACCGCGUGAUUGAAGAAGGUAGAAAUAUUGUAAAAAUCUUUUUGGGGAGCUUCGUUAACCUAUGAAUAAGCCCCGGCUAAUUACGUGCCAGCAGCCGCGGUAAUACGUAAGGGGCAAGCGUUGUUCGGAAUUAUUGGGCGUAAAGAGUACGUAGGCGGUUCUAUAGGUCUCUUGUAAAAGACCACGGCUUAACUGUGGGACUAUGGGAGAAACCGGAGAACUAGAAUUUUCUAGGGGAAGCUAGAAUUCCUGGUGUAGGGGUAAAAUCUGUUGAUAUCAGGAGGAAUACUCGUGGCGAAAGCGAGCUUCUGGGAUAAUUGACGCUUAGGUACGAAAGCAUAGGUAGCAAACAGGAUUAGAUACCCUUGUAGUC